ACAGAUAUAAAGGGUUUCCAGUCAGACAUUCGCCUGAUCAAAAAUGACAUGAAGACUAUUGUUCAUCAGAUAUAUAAGAUAACUAUGACGCUUUCAGGGACUGACACUAUGCCAGUAGACCUUAGUGCUCUAAAUGAAAUUCAGGCAGUUAGUGCACUUGUAAGAGCUGUGCAAAAGAUGAUUACAGAUACAAAAGGAAUAUUUUGAAGUUAGAGGCUGAUAUCAAUAAUCCUAAUGCGUGAUCCUGCCAUGCAUAUUUCAUUAAGAGAUAGGAAACUGAGAUGGUAAUCUUUGCCUUAUAAUAUUUCUGUUACCUGGUGGAAUUAUCUCCAAGAAACAUAUACCAAAGUGGAUAUAAUGUUGAUGAAAGUUGGAGGAAAUUUUAUCUUGCUAUGCUGUGUAAAUAAAACUUCU
Penaeus monodon (black tiger shrimp) is the source of this 414-nucleotide long non-coding RNA. RefSeq lists it as uncharacterized. The record is from RefSeq and is a predicted model, not a curated record. NCBI's taxonomy places the organism in Eukaryota, Metazoa, Arthropoda, Malacostraca, Decapoda, Penaeidae. The transcript has 2 exons.